CACGUAGGGCGCGAGCGUUGUCCGGAAUUAUUGGGCGUAAAGAGCUCGUAGGCGGCGCGGUAAGUCGGGUGUGAAAUCUCGGAGCUUAACUCCGAAACUGCAUUCGAUACUGCCGUGCUUGAGGACUGGAGAGGAGACUGGAAUUUACGGUGUAGCGGUGAAAUGCGUAGAGAUCAUGAGGAAGACCAGUGGCGAAGGCGGGUCUCUGGACAGUUCCUGACACUGAGGCACGAAGGCCAGGGGAGCAAACGGG
RNAcentral lists this ribosomal RNA (253 nucleotides) under uncultured bacterium. RNAcentral describes it as "partial 16S ribosomal RNA". It matches the Rfam family "Bacterial small subunit ribosomal RNA", at positions 524 to 776 of the family's 1533-position model. The record is from RNAcentral.